Molecule: ribosomal RNA, 380 nt
Filed under: uncultured eukaryote
Lineage: Eukaryota
Description: partial 18S ribosomal RNA
Rfam family: Eukaryotic small subunit ribosomal RNA
Source: RNAcentral
CAAUAGCGUAUAUUAAAGUUGUUGCAGUUAAAAAGCUCGUAGUUGGAUCUGUGGUGUGCGGUGGGCUCCGGGCACUUGUUGUCUGAGUAGCUCGCCGCUGCCAUCCUUGGGUGGAACCUGUGUGGCAUUAGGUUGUCGUGCAGGGGAUGCCCAUCGUUUACUGUGAAAAAAUUAGAGUGUUCAAAGCAGGCUUAUGCCGUUGAAUAUAUUAGCAUGGAAUAAUGAGAUAGGACUUUUUCGCUAUUUUGUUGGUUUGCGCGAAGAGGUAAUGAUUAAUAGGGACAGUUGGGGGUAUUCGUAUUCCAUUGUCAGAGGUGAAAUUCUUGGAUUUUUGGAAGACGAACUACUGCGAAAGCAUUUACCAAGGAUGUCUUCAUUAA